CACAGCCUCACAUGACCACUGAGCACUUGAAAUGUAGUUAAUAUGCUAAGAAAGCCCAUUUAAAUUUUUAUUUUCAACUUACUUAAAUUCAAAGAGCCACAGGGGUCUAGUGGCUCCUGUAUUGACAGCACAGGGCCACCUUGUUAGUGGCAUCAUUUAUAACCCUGGGCAGCAUUGCUAUAGGAAUAGCCAUAUCCUGUAGGUCUAUAAUGCUGUAGAAAUGGAAUGUGUGGUGCGAAUGAAAUUUAAAAUUUAAGUAGCCACGGUGAAAAAAAAAGAGAAACAAGUAAAAUUCAUUUCAUAAUAUGCUUUAUCUCUAUUUCCAAAAUAUUAUCAUCUCAACAUGUAAGAAAUAUAAGAAGUAUUCAUGAGAUAUUUUACAUUCCUUUGUUCAUCAUAAGUGUUUGAGAUCCCAUGUGUGUCUGACACAGCACCUGACUUUGAACUCACCACAUUUCGAGUGCCCCAUAGCCCAUGUGGCCAUGGUUUAGAGAUUUCAGAAAGCAUUCAUGGAAAAUUCUCUUUCCUGAUCCUCAUUCACUAUCCUGGGAAGUGGCCAGAUAAGGAAGCAAGGCCCAGAAGGGCCCAGCCAGUGGCUCUCAGACUCCAGAGUCAUCGAGUCCCUCACUCGAGGGCAGGUUAACUCACAGAUGGCUGGCCCCCACCCUCUGCAUUUGCCAUCCAGCAGGUCUGGGUGGGUACCAGGAUGCGGAUUCGUAACAGGAGAGGCUGAUGCUGCCAGUCUGGGUCCACAUUUUGAGAAGCAUUCCUCCAAGGGUCCCACCCACGCUCAUACCCCAGCCAGAGGUUCUGAAGAUUGCUUGAGGUUGCAAGUACCUCCAAGCUUGAGCAGCAGUUUUGAAGUGUGGAGAUGGGAGGUGAGUUAUUCACAUCUCUAACAAAGGAGCUGCUGCUUCUGGCUUCAGGAGGGGCUGAGAGGCCCCUGAUUCACUAUCUCAUCACUGGGCUGGAAGCUCCACAGGGAUCAGUUAGGCCUGUGGGCCAUGCUUUCAGCACUUGGAGGAGAAGAUCCCUUAGACUCAGCCUUUGGCUCCAUGCCACUCUUGACAAUGUACAGGGAAGCCACUUGGACCUGAUGCUGGAGUUUAAUCAACAGACAAGGAAGAGGCCCCAGUGUGUACUGGGCAAAAGAACGGGACGGGUGUGCUGAAAAGCGUCUCAUAAACAGACUUUGUUUUCCUGUGUUUUAACUCAGCGUGAAAGUUUCUCUAGGUCUCCUCUCCUGGGGGAGAAAGGUAGCGGCUGGUUUCCUGUUCCAUUGCUUCUUUAGUAUCCUGAGAGAGAACAGCCAUGGGCACCCAGCUGCCCCAGCCUCUUCCUGUCCCAGGGCCCCGAGGCUGCCCUUCAGCGGUCUCCAGCUUCCUGCUCCUGUAAGCAGGGGCCUCUCUUUUUGGCUUUCCUGACAUUUCUCCUGACCUCUUCUGCUAGCCCUCCUGAACGCACAGUAAUAUCUGUACAUUGCAGUUGGUCCCCAGGCUGCUGCCUCUCUGUCUCUCCAUCUAAUGUUGCAUCUGUGCACUUUAGAAGUACCCGGGAGCCUUCAAAAUAUUUGGAUGCCUGGACACCACUCCAGAUAAUUCAGUCAGAGUCUCUGAAGACAGGGCCCAGGCA
Molecule: long non-coding RNA, 1632 nt
Filed under: Homo sapiens (human)
Lineage: Eukaryota; Metazoa; Chordata; Mammalia; Primates; Hominidae
Description: HSALNT0400127
Source: RNAcentral